AUGAGCUUUGUUCAAGAGCAUAGCUCAUGCCAAAACAAUUACUCACAUGGGUGGCCUGGAAACCCAAAUAUGUCAUAUAGGAGCAACAACCCUGAGAUCUCAUCGUUUGCCUCUAGUUAUCCAAUGCAGGGAUUUAGGUACAAUGAGGAGAGCCACAACUAUGCUCCACAACAGUCUUAUUCAGCUCCUAUUCAUAUACCUCAGCACCAGGAUAUGUGUCCAAUGGAGUUAAAUGGUCCUCCAUUUGGCCAACCAACAACUUCAGCACCUAAUGAGUCGGUAGAGCAAUCUCGUGUGCAAGUGCCCACACAAGAUGAGUUCGAUGACAUAGACAAGCUCACACUUUUGCGUCUCGAGUUCACUUGGAGUGCCGAGGAUGAUCCUAUUAGGAAGGUUAUACUAGAGGAAAUGAAGAAGAUCAAGAGUGGAAAAGAGCUAGUGGAAGAAGUAAGGAAGAUUGAGAAGAAUAUCAACACUGGCAGCACUAUUUCUUCACAGCUAGAGCUAAGUAUUUAUGGGAUAUCCUUUGAUACAUGUGAGGUUCCAACACCGUCACAUCCAGCUGAGCAAGAUAGCAAGAGUCCAGAGGAAGAGAGACCUCAGAUUGAAGAUGAACUAGAAGACAAGGAACAAGAUGAUCAAGAGCUGCAAUUUCCAAGUGAUCAAGUUGAAGACUCAUCAUCUACUACUCCUGAAGAAGUACACGAAGCUGAUGUAGAUGAAGAUGAAGAACCUGAGAUUCAUUUGCCUAUUGUCAUACAAGAGUGUGAUGUGUCAGGUUUACACAAUCCUCUUGAUGACAUGCUGCCUUGUGAUUUCUAUGCUUCUAACUUUCAUUGCAUGAUGCCAUCACUUAAGGUAGAUUUGAAAAACUACUUGCUUGGACAUGAUCAUACACACCCUGUUAGUGGCAUUACUCUCAUUUGUGAUGAUCACAGUUACUUUCCUCGUGCUAGUUCUAUGCUUAAUGAAACAUAUCAUUCCCAUGCUAGUCUUGAGCUUAAUGAUAAAUAUCAUCCUCAUGUUAGCAUUGAGCUUACUGAUUCGUACCAUCCUAAAGAUGUGCUUUAUAGCUAUGCUUAUGUAAUUGGGUACUCUAUAGAUGAUUUAGAGGGCAUUGCCCUUGUCACUUGUAUUGUUUCCUUGGUUGAGUGCUCUUUCAGGUUGUUGCCUGUGCACGAUCCACUACAUGCUGACCAAGUUCGAGAUGACAUUCCCUGGGAUCCCGGUGGACCCAUGGCAUGGGGAUGA
RNAcentral lists this ribosomal RNA (1251 nucleotides) under Triticum aestivum (bread wheat). RNAcentral describes it as "partial small subunit ribosomal RNA". Lineage: Eukaryota; Viridiplantae; Streptophyta; Magnoliopsida; Poales; Poaceae. The record is from RNAcentral.